UUUGAUCCUGGCUCAGAUUGAACGCUGGCGGCAGGCUUAACACAUGCAAGUCGAGCGGUAACAUUUCUAGCUUGCUAGAAGAUGACGAGCGGCGGACGGGUGAGUAAUGCUUGGGAAACUGCCUGGAAGUGGGGGACAACAGUUGGAAACGACUGCUAAUACCGCAUAAUGUCUUCGGACCAAAGGAGGGGCUCUUCGGACCUUUCGCUUUCAGAUGUGCCCAAGUGGGAUUAGCUAGAUGGUGGGGUAAUGGCCUACCAUGGCGACGAUCCCUAGCUGGUUUGAGAGGAUGAUCAGCCACACUGGGACUGAGACACGGCCCAGACUCCUACGGGAGGCAGCAGUGGGGAAUAUUGCACAAUGGGCGCAAGCCUGAUGCAGCCAUGCCGCGUGUGUGAAGAAGGCCUUCGGGUUGUAAAGCACUUUCAGUUGUGAGGAAGGUUGUGUGGUUAAUACCCAUAUAAUUGACGUUAGCA
Molecule: ribosomal RNA, 476 nt
Filed under: marine sediment bacterium ISA-1290
Lineage: Bacteria
Description: bacterial SSU rRNA
Rfam family: Bacterial small subunit ribosomal RNA
Source: RNAcentral